AAUGACCACAAAGCAAGGAACAAAACAGGGAAAACUGGUAGCGGGGUUGAAGAAGAUGAUCUUGUUGAUGUUCUUUUGAGGCUUCAGGAGCAUGGAAACCUUGAAUUUCCGUUGACAACCGACAACAUCAAAGCAGUUAUCCUGGUUAGUAUGCCGAUUAAUCAAUAAUGCUUCAGAAAGUAAAACUGUUCUCUCUCUGUUUCUGAAUAUGUUACCUGUUAACAUUAUUUCAGGACAUUUUCAUCGCUGGCAGUGAGACAUCAUCGACAACAGUAGAGUGGGCAAUGUCCGAACUGCUGAGGAAUCCAAGAGUGAUGGAGAAGGCACAAGAAGAGGUGAGGAGGGUAACUGAUAAAAAAGGAAACGUGGAGGAAACAGACAUACAUGAACUGACAUACUUGAAGGCAAUUAUCAAAGAAACUUUGAGAUUACACCCUCCUGCUCCAUUGCUACUUCCAAGAGAAGGUAGAGAGAGAUGUGAGAUUAACGGGUACGAG
RNAcentral lists this long non-coding RNA (497 nucleotides) under Manihot esculenta (cassava). Its description in RNAcentral is "long non-coding RNA (MESC_LNC008887)". Lineage: Eukaryota; Viridiplantae; Streptophyta; Magnoliopsida; Malpighiales; Euphorbiaceae. The record is from RNAcentral.